GGGAGAAAGAUAGUGAGAGUGCAUUUGAUGGAUUUCAGUGUUUGGGCAAUGUUUUCAGGGUUGUAAAUGCAACUGUUUGCAGUCUUGGAUGUUGGAAUCCAGACAGUGUUGUGAGUGGUAGCGUAAAUGAUGAGUGAGGGUUUAAGAUGUUGUAGAGGUUUAAGGGAAAAGAUGGAAAAUUAUUGAAGUCAAAUGCUUCUCUUAAAAAACCUAUGCUAAUUCAAACAAGGUUACCAAAAUCUAGUAGUAAGGAGUUAAUUCUAAUAAAAAGUACAGCAGAUGCAACUGAAAAAUAGCUCUUCCCAAUUCAAGCAGGUACUGGGGUAAUGCACGCUUCAGUUAUCUAAUCAUAUAAAAGCAAUACUUUUGUAAGAAUUGUAUCCAGGCAAGAAGCUCCAAAAAACUGAAACAGCUCAUAUUAUUGGCAGAGCCAUGACUGUUGACGUUUCAAUAUUGGUCACAAACACAUCUUUUUCCAGAAACAAUCAUGAGCUAGCCCAACACUAAAUAACCUAAGAUUUAAUAGAGCUAAUUAAGCUCACUUUUUACCAUAAAAUAUUCAGAUCAGGAAAAUUUGACCAAGUUGGCUAAAAAUCUGAUCUUAUUUCUUUGCAUUCAGUUCAUCUAUUCUAUAGCACUGACUGCACAUGCAUGGAAAAAGAGGAAGAGAGAUGAGAAAUCUGACUAUAUUUGUGUCCCUAAAAACACGGUUCAGAAUUUUCUCUCACUGAACUUUAAUGACAUUCAACAUUAUGUCAAUAAUUAGAUGGGAAAAUUAAAAUAAUAAUAAUAAUAAUAAAUAAAUAAACAAACAAACAAACAAAAACUGGUCAGAUAAUAUAUACCAACACUAUUGAUCCAAUUAGUAUACGAGGGAAAAAGUUGCGGGACUCUAAUCCAGAAACAGACACAAUCUAUGUUUUGAAAGUAUUAAGGUCUUAAAUAUCAUCAACACCUCACUUGCAUUUGAGAGAGGCAAGACUCAGAACAUCACCAAAUCAGACAGGAUAAGUGUACACCACUGCACAACCUAAUUUACAGACUGAUCUCCGUUCUUGGAUUAACUGUAUUACCUCAAUGCAUAACCUAAUUUACAGAUAAAGACAGGGUCAUUAUUCAGCACCUGUAUCUUCAACAGAUUUCUUAUACUCUGGCUUGAGCUCAUAUGUUCCUUGGUUGGUUCCCCUUUUAUUGCAUACACAUAGCUCAUUCAGUAUCUCUUUCAAAAAUUGCUGCAAUAGAAGAUGCAUAAAUAUUAGGAUUAUACUGUUCAGAAAAUGAAAAACUCAAGUUAAAUUGUUAACAUGCGGUUCUAUAAUGCCAUGUGAGCUUGAAUCAAGGAAAACACAAGUGCAGAAUCAUGGUCUAAAAUAUCCUUC
RNAcentral lists this long non-coding RNA (1379 nucleotides) under Olea europaea (common olive). RNAcentral's name for it is "long non-coding RNA (OEUR_LNC014412)". Lineage: Eukaryota; Viridiplantae; Streptophyta; Magnoliopsida; Lamiales; Oleaceae. The record is from RNAcentral.